Molecule: transfer RNA, 73 nt
Filed under: Trichonephila inaurata madagascariensis
Lineage: Eukaryota; Metazoa; Arthropoda; Arachnida; Araneae; Nephilidae
Rfam family: tRNA
About the family: Transfer RNA (tRNA) molecules are approximately 80 nucleotides in length. Their secondary structure includes four short double-helical elements and three loops (D, anti-codon, and T loops).
Source: Rfam by way of RNAcentral
GUCCCUGUAGCGCCAUGGAUAACGCAUUGGACUUCUAAUCCAAAGCUCGUGGACUCGAAUCCCACCUGGGAUG